This 361-nucleotide unclassified non-coding RNA is filed under the name soil metagenome. RNAcentral describes it as "partial contains 5.8S ribosomal RNA, internal transcribed spacer 2, and large subunit ribosomal RNA". The stretch from base 1 to 120 matches the Rfam family "5.8S ribosomal RNA", at positions 35 to 154 of the family's 154-position model. The record is from RNAcentral.
GAUGAAGAACGCAGCGAAAUGCGAUAAGUAAUGUGAAUUGCAGAAUUUAGUGAAUCAUCGAAUCUUUGAACGCAUAUUGCGCCCGCCAGCACUCUGGCGGGCAUGCCUGUUCGAGCGUCAUUUCAACCCUCAGGCCUCGCGUCUGGCGUUGGGGCGCUGCGGCCCUCCCGCAGGCCCCCAAAUUUAGCGGCGGAUUCCCCGCGGCCCUGAGCGCAGUAGAGAGUAAAAACUUUAACGCUCCGGCGGCCGUGGCGCGGUUCUGUCUCUUUCCCAAUAGCGCCAAUAGCGCCACCCCCAAAAAAGUUGACCUCGGAUCAGGUAGGACUACCCGCUGAACUUAAGCAUAUCAAUAAGCGGAGGA